GUUAUGGAGCUGCUUCCUCUCCCCAGCCUCACCCUGCAGGAAUCCAGUGAAUAUAUUUCCACCAUCUUGGAGCUUAGUGCCCUCAUAGUGUAACAGCACCAGCAGAUCUUCCUGUGCAUGGACUUCCUGUACUACCCAUUCCUGAGGGGUGAUGCUUCUACAGGGCCUGUGACUUGGGGCACAACUUCAGACACCAUCAUCCUGGAGCAGCAAUGCACCCUCACUAGCCAGGGUGUUGAUGACUUCCUCAAGGUCAAGACCACGUUCAAGAUUUCGGACUUUAUUGAUGCACUUGUGAUGAGCAAGGUGGGCGUCUCCGGGAUCUUAAUUGAGGAGAUAGAAUGCAGCUUGAGAUCAAGUGUCUGAUCAAAGAACUUGAACUUGAUCUGGAGGGCUUUGGGGAGCCAUGGAAGGUGCUGGAUAAGGGAGGGACAGUCAGAUACGUGUUAGAGAUGACUGUAAAAGGCUGCCUGGAAGGAGUGAACAAGAGCCAGGAGACCAGGGAGGGAGCUUGUGGGGCAGGUCUGGAGAUGGCAAGGGAAGGAUCCUGCUUGGAUGAACGGUCUCCAGAGACUGUCUCAGGUUACACUCAGGUGCCCUGAGAGCUAGUGUGUUCAGAGGUCUUGUCUCCAGGAUGAAAAUGGGAAGGAGUUGUCAGAUGAGGACAUGUAAAUGGAAGCUGGCAUAUUCGUGAGUGCCGGUGGUCCCGGUGUGGGGCUACUAUGAGAACAGGGGUCUCUCCAUCCAGCGACAUGGUGGAUGGACCCUACAUCACUCCAUUCUGCCCUUUCUUUCCCUCCUCCCGUUCUACCAAGGGCCUCACUGCAUUGCCGCUGUCCAUCCUGUGGUGCUGAAGCAACCAAGAGACCCAAGCCUGCAUGGCUGCCUCUUAGGAUAUGACAGCACAGCCAGUGGCCUCUACUUGAUCCUGUACAACCUCACAAGACACCCAGACACCAGGAGUGCUGCCAGCACGUGUUGCAAGAGUCCUGAGGAGCCACAGUCCUGAAGACAUUGAAUG
Molecule: small RNA, 1021 nt
Filed under: Pongo abelii (Sumatran orangutan)
Lineage: Eukaryota; Metazoa; Chordata; Mammalia; Primates; Hominidae
Description: processed transcript
Source: RNAcentral